UACUUGUGAAAUAUUUGCCUU
Molecule: non-coding RNA, 21 nt
Filed under: Caenorhabditis elegans
Lineage: Eukaryota; Metazoa; Nematoda; Chromadorea; Rhabditida; Rhabditidae
Source: RNAcentral